CAGCAGCCACGGUAAUACAGAGGGUGCGAGCGUUAAUCGGAUUUACUGGGCGUAAAGCGUGCGUAGGCGGCUUUUUAAGUCGGAUGUGAAAUCCCUGAGCUUAACUUAGGAAUUGCAUUCGAUACUGGGAAGCUAGAGUAUGGGAGAGGAUGGUAGAAUUCCAGGUGUAGCAGUGAAAUGCGUAGAGAUCGGAAGGAACAUCUGUGGCGAAGGCGACUAUCUGGGCCAACACUGACACUGAGGCACGAAAGCGUGGGGAGCAAACAGGAUUAGAUACCCCAGUAGUCCCUGUCUCUUAUAU
This 301-nucleotide ribosomal RNA is filed under the name uncultured bacterium. RNAcentral describes it as "partial 16S ribosomal RNA". It matches the Rfam family "Bacterial small subunit ribosomal RNA", at positions 509 to 809 of the family's 1533-position model. The record is from RNAcentral.